ACGGCGAGUGAAGCGGCAACAGCUCAAAUUUGAAAUCUGGUCCUUUCAGGAUCCGAGUUGUAAUUUGCAGAGGAUGUUUCGGGCGCGGCGCGGGUCUAAGUCCCUUGGAACAGGGCGUCAUAGAGGGUGAGAAUCCCGUAUGUGACCUGCGACCAAGUCCAUGUGAAACUCCUUCGACGAGUCGAGUUGUUUGGGAAUGCAGCUCAAAAUGGGUGGUAAAUUUCAUCUAAAGCUAAAUACCGGCCAGAGACCGAUAGCGCACAAGUAGAGUGAUCGAAAGAUGAAAAGCACUUUGGAAAGAGAGUCAAAAAGUACGUGAAAUUGUUGAAAGGGAAGCGCUUGCAACCAGACCUGUCCGUGGGCGAUCAACCUCCGUUCUCGGGGGUGCACUCGUCCACGAUCAGGCCAGCAUCGGUUUGGGCGGCCAGAUAAAGGCCGUGGGAAUGUAGCUCCUCUCGGGGAGUGUUAUAGCCCACGGUGCAAUGUGGCCAGCCCGGACCGAGGACCGCGCGUAAGCUAGGAUGCUGGCAUAAUGGUUGUAAGCGACCCGUCUUGAAACACGGACCAAGGAGUCUAACAUCUAUGCAAGUGUUUGGGUGUCAAACCCAUGCGCGUAAUGAAAGUGAACGGAGGUGAGAACCCUUAAGGGCGCAUCAUCGACCGAUCCAGAUGUCUUCGGAUGGAUUUGAGUACGAGCAUAGCUGUUGGGACCCGAAAGAUGGUGAACUAUGCCUGAAUAGGGUGAAGCCAGAGGAAACUCUGGUGGAGGCUCGCAGCGGUUCUGACGUGCAAAUCGAUCGUCAAAUUUGGGUAUAGGGGC
RNAcentral lists this ribosomal RNA (820 nucleotides) under Pycnothelia papillaria. Its description in RNAcentral is "eukaryotic LSU rRNA". It matches the Rfam family "Eukaryotic large subunit ribosomal RNA", at positions 86 to 924 of the family's 3401-position model. Lineage: Eukaryota; Fungi; Ascomycota; Lecanoromycetes; Lecanorales; Cladoniaceae. The record is from RNAcentral.